CCUACGGGAGGCAGCAGUGAGGAAUAUUGGUCAAUGGGCGGGAGCCUGAACCAGCCAAGUCGCGUGAGGGAAGACGGUCCUAUGGAUUGUAAACCUCUUUAGGCGGGGAGCAAUGCCGGGCACGCGUGCCCGGAGGGAGAGUACCCGCAGAAUAAGCAUCGGCUAACUCCGUGCCAGCAGCCGCGGUAAUACGGAGGAUGCGAGCGUUAUCCGGAUUUAGUGGGUUUAAAGGGUGCGUAGGCGGAUUUUUAAGUCAGCGGUAAAAUGUCCGGGCUCAACCCGGGCCGGCCGUUGAAACUGGGGAUCUUGAGUGGGCGAGAAGUAUGCGGAAUGCGUGGUGUAGCGGUGAAAUGCAUAGAUAGCACGCAGAACUCCGAUUGCGAAGGCAGCAUACCGGCGCCCGACUGACGCUGAGGCACGAAAGCGUGGGGAUCGAACAGGAUUAGAUACCCCAGUAGUC
This 460-nucleotide ribosomal RNA is filed under the name uncultured bacterium. Its description in RNAcentral is "partial 16S ribosomal RNA". It matches the Rfam family "Bacterial small subunit ribosomal RNA", at positions 338 to 795 of the family's 1533-position model. The record is from RNAcentral.